Molecule: ribosomal RNA, 1318 nt
Filed under: metagenome
Description: bacterial LSU rRNA
Rfam family: Bacterial large subunit ribosomal RNA
Source: RNAcentral
CAAACAAGGGACCGUACCCCAAACCGACACAGGUGGUCAGGUAGAGAAUACCAAGGCGCUUGAGAGAACUCGGGUGAAGGAACUAGGCAAAAUGGUACCGUAACUUCGGGAGAAGGUACGCCGCUUGGGGUGAUCGGACUUGCUCCGUGAGCUCCGGGCGGUCGAAGUGACCAGGUGGCUGCGACUGUUUAUUAAAAACACAGCACUCUGCAAACACGAAAGUGGACGUAUAGGGUGUGACGCCUGCCCGGUGCCGGAAGGUUAAUUGAUGGGGUCAGCCGCAAGGCGAAGCUCUUGAUCGAAGCCCCGGUAAACGGCGGCCGUAACAAUAACGGUCCUAAGGUAGCGAAAUUCCUUGUCGGGUAAGUUCCGACCUGCACGAAUGGCGUAACGAUGGCCACACUGUCUCCACCCGAGACUCAGUGAAAUUGAACUCGCUGUGAAGAUGCAGUGUACCCGCGGCUAGACGGAAAGACCCCGUGAACCUUUACUACAGCUUUGCACUGGACUCUGAAUCUGUUUGUGUAGGAUAGGUGGGAGGCUAUGAAGCCGGAACGCUAGUUCUGGUGGAGCCAACCUUGAAAUACCACCCUGACAUAUUUGGGGUUCUAACCCAGGCCCGUUAUCCGGGUCGGGGACAGUGUAUGGUGGGUAGUUUGACUGGGGCGGUCUCCUCCCAAAGAGUAACGGAGGAGCACGAAGGUACCCUCAGCGUGGUCGGAAAUCACGCUUUUGAGUGCAAAGGCAUAAGGGUGCUUGACUGCGAGAGCGACGGCUCGAGCAGGUGCGAAAGCAGGUCUUAGUGAUCCGGUGGUUCUGAAUGGAAGGGCCAUCGCUCAACGGAUAAAAGGUACUCCGGGGAUAACAGGCUGAUACCGCCCAAGAGUUCAUAUCGACGGCGGUGAUUGGCACCUCGAUGUCGGCUCAUCACAUCCUGGGGCUGAAGCCGGUCCCAAGGGUAUGGUUGUUUGCCAUUUAAAGUGGUACGCGAGCUGGGUUUAGAACGUCGUGAGACAGUUCGGUCCCUAUCUGCCGUGGGCGUUGGAGAUUUGAGGAAAGCUGCUCCUAGUACGAGAGGACCGGAGUGGACGAACCUCUGGUGUUCGGGUUGUCACGCCAGUGGCAUUGCCCGGUAGCUACGUUCGGACGGGAUAGCCGCUGAAAGCAUCUAAGCGGGAAGCCUCUUCCAAGAUGAGAUCUCCCCGGGGACUCGAUCCCCCUGAAGGGUUGUUCAAGACCAGGACGUUGAUAGGUGGGGUGUGUAAGCGCUGUGAGGCGUUGAGCUAACCCAUACUAAUUGCCCGUGCGGCUUGACCCU